AGGGGGGACGGAGAAGGCUAUGUUGGCCGGGCGACGGUUGUCCCGGUUUAAGCGUGUAGGCUGGUUUUCCAGGCAAAUCCGGAAAAUCAAGGCUGAGGCGUGAUGACGAGGCACUACGGUGCUGAAGCGACAAAUGCCCUGCUUCCAGGAAAAGCCUCUAAGCAUCAGGUAACAUCAAAUCGUACCCCAAACCGACACAGGUGGUCAGGUAGAGAAUACCAAGGCGCUUGAGAGAACUCGGGUGAAGGAACUAGGCAAAAUGGUGCCGUAACUUCGGGAGAAGGCACGCUGAUAUGUAGGUGAAGCGACUUGCUCGUGGAGCUGAAAUCAGUCGAAGAUACCAGCUGGCUGCAACUGUUUAUUAAAAACACAGCACUGUGCAAACACGAAAGUGGACGUAUACGGUGUGACGCCUGCCCGGUGCCGGAAGGUUAAUUGAUGGGGUUAGCGGUAACGCGAAGCUCUUGAUCGAAGCCCCGGUAAACGGCGGCCGUAACUAUAACGGUCCUAAGGUAGCGAAAUUCCUUGUCGGGUAAGUUCCGACCUGCACGAAUGGCGUAAUGAUGGCCAGGCUGUCUCCACCCGAGACUCAGUGAAAUUGAACUCGCUGUGAAGAUGCAGUGUACCCGCGGCAAGACGGAAAGACCCCGUGAACCUUUACUAUAGCUUGACACUGAACAUUGAGCCUUGAUGUGUAGGAUAGGUGGGAGGCUUUGAAGUGUGGACGCCAGUCUGCAUGGAGCCGACCUUGAAAUACCACCCUUUAAUGUUUGAUGUUCUAACGUGGGCCCCUUACCGGGGUUGCGGACAGUGUCUGGUGGGUAGUUUGACUGGGGCGGUCUCCUCCUAAAGAGUAACGGAGGAGCACGAAGGUUGGCUAAUCCUGGUCGGACAUCAGGAGGUUAGUGCAAUGGCAUAAGCCAGCUUGACUGCGAGCGUGACGGCGCGAGCAGGUGCGAAAGCAGGUCAUAGUGAUCCGGUGGUUCUGAAUGGAAGGGCCAUCGCUCAACGGAUAAAAGGUACUCCGGGGAUAACAGGCUGAUACCGCCCAAGAGUUCAUAUCGACGGCGGUGUUUGGCACCUCGAUGUCGGCUCAUCACAUCCUGGGGCUGAAGUAGGUCCCAAGGGUAUGGCUGUUCGCCAUUUAAAGUGGUACGCGAGCUGGGUUUAGAACGUCGUGAGACAGUUCGGUCCCUAUCUGCCGUGGGCGCUGGAGAACUGAGGGGGGCUGCUCCUAGUACGAGAGGACCGGAGUGGACGCAUCACUGGUGUUCGGGUUGUCAUGCCAAUGGCACUGCCCGGUAGCUAAAUGCGGAAGAGAUAAGUGCUGAAAGCAUCUAAGCACGAAACUUGCCCCGAGAUGAGUUCUCCCUGACUCCUUGAGAGUCCUGAAGGAACGUUGAAGACGACGACGUUGAUAGGCCGGGUGUGUAAGCGCAGCGAUGCGUUGAGCUAACCGGUACUAAUGAACCGUGAGGCUUAACCUUACAACGCCGAAG
RNAcentral lists this ribosomal RNA (1499 nucleotides) under Escherichia coli O25b:H4-ST131. Its description in RNAcentral is "partial 23S ribosomal RNA". It matches the Rfam family "Bacterial large subunit ribosomal RNA", at positions 1465 to 2925 of the family's 2925-position model. Lineage: Bacteria; Pseudomonadati; Pseudomonadota; Gammaproteobacteria; Enterobacterales; Enterobacteriaceae. The record is from RNAcentral.